AGUGAACGCUGGCGGUAGGCCUAACACAUGCAAGUCGAACGGCAGCACAGUAAGAGCUUGCUCUUACGGGUGGCGAGUGGCGGACGGGUGAGGAAUACAUCGGAAUCUACUUUUUCGUGGGGGAUAACGUAGGGAAACUUACGCUAAUACCGCAUACGACCUACGGGUGAAAGCAGGGGAUCUUCGGACCUUGCGCGAUUGAAUGAGCCGAUGUCGGAUUAGCUAGUUGGCGGGGUAAAGGCCCACCAAGGCGACGAUCCGUAGCUGGUCUGAGAGGAUGAUAAGCCACACUGGAACUGAGACACGGUCCAGACUCCUAAGGGAGGCAGCAGUGGGGAAUAUUGGACAAUGGGCGCAAGCCUGAUCCAGCCAUACCGCGUGGGUGAAGAAGGCCUUCGGGUUGUAAAGCCCUUUUGUUGGGAAAGAAAAGCAGCAGGUUAAUACCCCGCUGUUCUGACGGUACCCAAAGAAGAAGCACCGGCUAACUUCGUG
Molecule: ribosomal RNA, 492 nt
Filed under: uncultured bacterium
Lineage: Bacteria
Description: partial 16S ribosomal RNA
Rfam family: Bacterial small subunit ribosomal RNA
Source: RNAcentral